RNAcentral lists this ribosomal RNA (468 nucleotides) under uncultured eukaryote. RNAcentral describes it as "eukaryotic LSU rRNA". It matches the Rfam family "Eukaryotic large subunit ribosomal RNA", at positions 14 to 480 of the family's 3401-position model. The record is from RNAcentral.
GGCGAGAAUACCCGGCGAAUUUAAGCAUAUUACUAACCGGAGGAAAAGAAACCAACAGGGACGUCCUCAGUAGCGGCGAGCGAAGCGGACGAUGCCCAAACCGAACCGCGGUUCCCGAGGGGGCCGCGGAGUGUGGAGAGGAUGAGCUCGCGAGGGGGCGGGACGGGUUCCAAUCCGUCUGGAAGGGCGGAGGCACGGAGGGCGAUUCCCCGUACGUGCUCGGUCCGUCCCCGACGAGCGAACGCAUCGGAGAGUCGGGCCGCUUGAGAGUGCAGCCCGAAUGGGGUGAUAGGUCUCAUCCAAGGCUAAGUACGUGGGAGACGCCGAUAGCGAACAAGUACGGCGACGGAAAGGUGAAAAGAACCUCGAAAGGGGGUCAAAAGCGCUCGAAAUCGUAGAGGGGGAAGCGGACCUGACCGACGAGACCUCGUCGUCGCUCGCGCUCGACCCACGCUUCGUCGCGGAGUU